GACGAACGCUGGCGGCGUGCUUAACACAUGCAAGUCGAACGGAAAGGCCCUGCUUUUGUGGGGUGCUCGAGUGGCGAACGGGUGAGUAACACGCGAGUAACCUGCCCUUGACUUUGUGAUAACUUCAGGAAACUGGGGCGAAUACCGGAUAUGAGCUCCUGCUGCAUGGUGGGGGAUGGAAAGUUUCGGCGGUUGUGGAUGGACUCGCGGGUUAUCAGCUUGUUGGUGGGGUAGUGGCUUACCAAGGCUUUGACGGGUAGCCGGCCUGGGAGGGUGACCGGCCACAUUGGGACUGCGAGACGGCGCAGACUCGUACGGGAGGCAGCAGUGGGGAAUAUUGCACAAUGGGCGGAAGUCAGAUGCAGAAACGCCGCGUGCGGGAUGAUGGCUUACGGGUUGUAAACAGCUUUCGACUGUGACGAGGACUGAGUGACGGUACUGGGUAAAGAAGCAACGGCUAACUACGUG
RNAcentral lists this ribosomal RNA (468 nucleotides) under uncultured bacterium. Its description in RNAcentral is "partial 16S ribosomal RNA". It matches the Rfam family "Bacterial small subunit ribosomal RNA", at positions 28 to 507 of the family's 1533-position model. The record is from RNAcentral.